This 1930-nucleotide long non-coding RNA is filed under the name Pongo abelii (Sumatran orangutan). RNAcentral's name for it is "lincRNA". The record is from RNAcentral. Lineage: Eukaryota; Metazoa; Chordata; Mammalia; Primates; Hominidae.
CUCAUUAGAAGCCAGCUUCCCCUGGAAAACAGCCACAUUCUGCUCUACUUUAUCAUGUCUAUGUGGCCCCCCCUGAGUGGGAAGGCUAAAGGCUUAAGUUUUGUAAGACUGACCAUAAGUGUGGUGAUAUUUCCUAAUUCCAGGGAAUGGAGCUAGUCAUGCCACACAUCUUUGCUGUUCUCACGAACUGAGAGUCUUCUUAUGUUGCUAUUUUGAACUCCUGAACUCAAGUGAUCCUCCUGCCUUGGCCUCCCAAAGUGCUGGGAUUACAGGUGUGAGCCACUGCACCCUGCCCAAGCACCUCUGCUCCAUGCCAUGCUCUUGGCUAAUUGAAGUUGUGAAAGGCAUGAGGAUUCUGGUCAUGGACUCAGCUCUCCCAUAGGGGUCUGACACCAAAGCAAUGGUCACAACAGUGAAAGGAAGAAUCCAUCUGGCCAGGCUCAGGUGGUUCAAGGCCUUCAGAAUCUGCCUUGAGACUCUCACUGGCUUUAGACUGAAAACCAUCUUGGCCCCAUCCAUCCACGUAAGCAAUUUAACUACAGCUUGCAAAGCACCGAGCUUUAACAGAAAGAAGAGAUGAGCACGGCGCAAGAACUUGGACUCCAGAAGAGCUGCCUAACAGAUUAUUUUUCUGUGGUAUUUCAUGAGAACAAACGAAGUAGGAAUUUUCCUUUUGUUCGUCUGGCCUUUGGCAUUGUUUACUUUCUUUUUAUUCUUCUGAACUGUACUUCGAGCCCUGGCAGCAUUUCUGUCCUAAAAUCUUAUUGUCAGAGGUUUAUUUUUCAGCUUUUCAAAUCAUAUCUGAUAGAGUGAGUGUGCUGCCUGGACUCAUCACUUUACUUCAGAAGAAAUACAGCUCACCCUUUAAAUGACAAUGAUGACUGUCCACAGCUUUAUGUUUUCUACCCUGAAGUGGCAGGCUUCAUUUAAAAAUAAUGUUUUCCCUCAUCAAAAGAGAACUAGGGUAGAACCCUCAACUCUGCUGAUGUCUGGGUAGUGACCUAACACGCAUGUUUUGGACAAUCACUCACUGUCUUAUAUUGGGUUUUCAUUGCAUGUAGGAUAAUUCUUUGUCAAUAGUAGUUUUGUCAACUGUGAUCUGAGGUAAUGAGGUUUUCUACUUUUGCUUGAAAUUUUGAAAAUAUGCAAGCUUUAAACAUUUGCAAAGUUGGAUUCUGUUUUCUUUAGAAAGCAAUCUGAUUUGCUGAUAUUCUCUCCAUCUGUCAGGGGAUGCAUGAUGUGGUGUAGACUUAAUGUGCUGCCUUUCUGGAACAUGGACAGAGUAGCAGCACAGAAAAAUGAGCAUUUCAGCUCUGUGAUGAUUUGUGAAAAAAAUCUCAGAUCAUUGAGCAGGCAUUUUGCUGACACCUGUGAAAAGUAACCACAUGAGAGAGUGUGGCGUGAUGGUUGGAGGCCAAGUGCUGGAGCUGGACUGCUUGAAUCAGAUCCCAGCUGCUCAGCUGUAGUGAACUGAAUGGUGGUCCCAAAAAGAUACAUGUACCUCCUAAUCCCUGGAACCUGUGAAUGUGAGCUUAUUAGGCAAAAGGGUCUUUGCAGAUGUACUUACAUUGAGGCUCUCAGAGAUGAGAACAUCCUGGAUUAUCAGGGUGGGUCCUAUAUCCAAUGACAAGUGUCUCCUUAUAGGAGACAGAAGAAGAUGCCGACCCAGAAGAGACUAAGUAAAGAUGGAGGCAGAGACUGGAGUGAGGCUGCCGCAGGCCAAAGAAUUCCUGGUGCCAGCAAAAGCUGGAAGAGGCAAGGAAGGACCCUUCCCUGGGGCUUUUGGAGGGAGUGCAGCCCUGCUGAUGCCUUAGUGUUGGACAUCUGGGCUAUGAAACUAUGAGAGAGAAACUUCUAUUGUUUUAAGCAACUCUGUUUGUGGUACUCUGUUAUGGCAGCCACAGGAAACUAAUACACCCUUUACCACCUG